This 620-nucleotide ribosomal RNA is filed under the name Squalidus gracilis. RNAcentral's name for it is "Capoeta gracilis partial 16S ribosomal RNA". It matches the Rfam family "Bacterial large subunit ribosomal RNA", at positions 1797 to 2619 of the family's 2925-position model. Lineage: Eukaryota; Metazoa; Chordata; Actinopteri; Cypriniformes; Gobionidae. The record is from RNAcentral.
CGCCUCUUUAUCAAAAACAUCGCCUCCUGCAACUAUAUUAGGUAUAGGAGGUCCAGCCUGCCCAGUGACUACGGGUUCAACGGCCGCGGUAUUUUGACCGUGCAAAGGUAGCGCAAUCACUUGUCUUUUAAAUAGAGACCUGUAUGAAUGGCUAAACGAGGGCUUAACUGUCUCCCCUUUCUGGUCAGUGAAAUUGAUCUACCCGUGCAGAAGCGGGUGUGACACCACAAGACGAGAAGACCCUUUGGAGCUUAAGGUACAAGAUUCAACCACGUCAAACGACUUGAUAAGAAGCAGGAACUUAGUGGGAAGUGAAGCUUUACCUUCGGUUGGGGCGACCGCGGAGGAAAGACCAGCCUCCGAGUGGAAUGGGCCAAGUCCCUAAAACUAAGAGAGACAUCUCUAAGCCACAGAACAUCUGACCAUAAAUGAUCCGGCCCAAGCAGCCGAUCAACGAACCAAGUUACCCUAGGGAUAACAGCGCAAUUCUCUCCCAGAGUCCAUAUCGACGAGGGGGUUUACGACCUCGAUGUUGGAUCAGGACAUCCUAAUGGUGCAGCCGCUAUUAAGGGUUCGUUUGUUCAACGAUUAAAGUCCUACGUGAUCUGAGUUCAGACCGG